UACUACUUAACUGGUCGGCAAGCCACCAACAACAAGCCAUCGAUCAAUAGAUCCAUAGCCCACAAUUGCCAGUGAACAUUCACUAGUCGUUUAGGCCGCGUUUGUGUACAUUUCCCCAAUUUGCUGCUGUUUGUACUCCCAUUGUGGUUGGAUGGCAGACAAGGCCUUUAUCAAAAGAUCAUUUGUGGCGACGCCAAACUCACCACAUUAUUCAUCCAUUGCGGCGUAUUAUCGUCUUAUCAGGUCAGUAAACAAUAUAAAACACAAACGGACGUAGCACAUAGAAA
This is a long non-coding RNA of Drosophila mauritiana, 287 nucleotides long. RefSeq lists it as uncharacterized. The record is from RefSeq and is a predicted model, not a curated record. The transcript has 2 exons. Lineage: Eukaryota; Metazoa; Arthropoda; Insecta; Diptera; Drosophilidae.